RNAcentral lists this ribosomal RNA (203 nucleotides) under Streptomyces albidoflavus. Its description in RNAcentral is "partial 16S ribosomal RNA". It matches the Rfam family "Bacterial small subunit ribosomal RNA", at positions 1 to 202 of the family's 1533-position model. The record is from RNAcentral. Lineage: Bacteria; Bacillati; Actinomycetota; Actinomycetes; Kitasatosporales; Streptomycetaceae.
CAUUCACGGAGAGUUUGAUCCUGGCUCAGGACGAACGCUGGCGGCGUGCUUAACACAUGCAAGUCGAACGAUGAACCGCUUUCGGGCGGGGAUUAGUGGCGAACGGGUGAGUAACACGUGGGCAAUCUGCCCUGCACUCUGGGACAAGCCCUGGAAACGGGGUCUAAUACCGGAUAUGACCGUCUGCCGCAUGGUGGAUGGUG